Molecule: ribosomal RNA, 1178 nt
Filed under: uncultured Rozellomycota
Lineage: Eukaryota; Fungi; Rozellomycota
Description: SSU rRNA
Rfam family: Eukaryotic small subunit ribosomal RNA
Source: RNAcentral
AAAUAACAAUGCAGGCCAUUGGGUCAUUGCAAUUGGAAUGAGUACAAUUUAAAACUCUUAACGAGUAACAAUUGGAGGCAAGUCUGGUGCCAGCAGCCGCGGUAAUUCCAGCUCCAAUAGCGUAUAUUAAAGUUGUUGCAGUUAAAAAGCUCGUAGUUGAAUUUCGGAUGAGGACUCUUGGUCUGGCUUCUGGUCAGUACUGAGAGGACCAAAUCUUUUUCUGGGAGUCAGAGUGCACUUCACUGUGUGCUCUGAGGAACCAGGACGAUUACCUUGAGAAAAAUAGAGUGUUCAAAGCAGGCAAUUGCUUGAAUACAUUAGCAUGGAAUAAUAAAAUAGGACUUUGGUUCUAUUUUGUUGGUUUAAGGACCAAUGUCAUGAUGAAUAGGGACAGUUGGGGCAUUAGUAUUCCGAAGCUAGAGGUGAAAUUCUUGGAUUUUCGGAAGACUAACUACUGCGAAAGCAUUUGCCAAGGAUGUUUUCAUUAAUCAAGAACGAAAGUUAGGGAUCGAAGACGAUUAGAUACCGUCGUAGUCUUAACCAUAAACUAUGCGACUAGGAUUGGUGAAUGUCGUAUUUGACUUCAUCAGCACCUUACGAGAAAUCAAAGUCUUUGGUUCUGGGGAGUAUAGUCGCAAGUCCGAAACUUAAAGGAAUUGACGGAAGGCACCACCAGGAGUGGAGCCUGCGGCUUAAUUUGACUCAACACGGGAAAACUCACCAGGUCCAGACAUAAGAAGGAUUGACAGAUUGAGAGCUCUUUCAUGAUUUUAUGGGUGGUGUGCAUGGCCGUUCUUAGUUGGUGGAGUGAUUUGUCUGGUUAAUUCCGAUAACGAACGAGACCUUAACCUGCUAAAUAGUCCUGUCAACUAUAGUUGAUGAGGUCUUCUUAGAGGACUAUCUGUGACUAACAGAUGGAAGUUUGAGGCAAUAACAGGUCUGUGAUGCCUUAGAUGUUCUGGCCGCACGCGCGCUACACUGAUAAAGUCAGCGAGUAUUCACCUUGACCGGAAGGUCUGGUAAUCUUUUGAAACUUUAUCGUGAUGGGGAUUGACCAUUGCAAUUAUUGGUCAUGAACGAGGAAUUCCUAGUAAGCGCAAGUCAUCAGCUUGCGUUGAUUACGUCCCUGCCUUUGUACACACCGCCGUCGAUACUACGAUUGAAUGGCUUAGUGAGGC